UGUAUGCGAGUCAUGGGUCUUGAUAAGCCCAGAGGCGCAAUGAAAGCGAAGGCCGGAGGACUCCGGCCGUGUCGGGAUCCCUGGUCCUCUGUGAUCGGGGCGCACCGGCGACCCGCCCCUAUCCGCUCGCGGGUGAGGCGGAGUCUGAGCAUACACGUUGUGACCCGAAAGAUGGUGAACUAUGCCCGGACAGGACGAGGCCAGAGGAAACUCUGGUGGAGGUCCGUAGCGAUUCUGACGUGCAAAUCGAUCGUCAGAUCUGGGUCUAGGGGCGAAAGACUAAUCGAACCAUCUA
RNAcentral lists this ribosomal RNA (295 nucleotides) under Bifurcia ramosa. RNAcentral's name for it is "partial 28S ribosomal RNA". It matches the Rfam family "Eukaryotic large subunit ribosomal RNA", at positions 681 to 946 of the family's 3401-position model. The record is from RNAcentral. Lineage: Eukaryota; Metazoa; Arthropoda; Arachnida; Araneae; Linyphiidae.